Molecule: ribosomal RNA, 254 nt
Filed under: uncultured bacterium
Lineage: Bacteria
Description: partial 16S ribosomal RNA
Rfam family: Bacterial small subunit ribosomal RNA
Source: RNAcentral
UACGUAGGGUGCAAGCGUUGUCCGGAAUUACUGGGCGUAAAGAGCUCGUAGGCGGUGCGUCGCGUCGGCCGUGAAAACCUGCAGCUUAACUGUGGGCUUGCGGUCGAUACGGGCAUCACUGGAGUUCGGCAGGGGAGACUGGAAUUCCUGGUGUAGCGGUGAAAUGCGCAGAUAUCAGAAGGAACACCGGUGGCGAAGGCGGGUCUCUGGGCCGAUACUGACGCUGAGGAGCGAAAGCGUGGGGAGCGAACAGG